AAACUCAAAGGAAGUUGACGGGGGCCCGCACAAGCGGUGGAGCAUGUGGUUUAAUUCGAUGAUACGCGAGAAACCUUACCUGGUCUUGACAUGUAGAGAAGUUCUAGAGAUAGAAUGUGCCUGCUUGCAGGAGCUCUAACACAGGUGGUGCAUGGUUGUCGUCAGCUCGUGUCGUGAGAUGUUGGGUUAAGUCCCGCAACGAGCGCAACCCUUGUUGCUAGUUACCAGCACGUAAUGGUGGGGACUCUAGCGAGACUGCCGGUGAUAAACCGGAGGAAGGUGGGGAUGACGUCAAAUCAUCACGCCCCUUACGACCAGGGCCACACACGUACUACAAUGCCCGGUACAAUGAGCUGCCAGGCCGCGAGGCCGAGCGAAUCUCAAAAACCGGGCCAAGUUCGGAUCGGAGAUUGCAACUCAUCUCCGUGAAGCUGGAAUCGCUAGUAAACGCAUAUCAGCAUGUUGCGUUGAAUACGUUCUCGGGCCUU
This 488-nucleotide ribosomal RNA is filed under the name uncultured Spirochaetales bacterium. Its description in RNAcentral is "bacterial SSU rRNA". It matches the Rfam family "Bacterial small subunit ribosomal RNA", at positions 897 to 1382 of the family's 1533-position model. The record is from RNAcentral. Lineage: Bacteria; Pseudomonadati; Spirochaetota; Spirochaetia; Spirochaetales.